UUUCACUGAUAGUCCUUUAGCAAGCAGUGUGUGAAAUAAGGGUUCUGCCUGGGUUGUUUAGUGCUAUGAAUAUUUUUUUCUAAAAACUUGGAAUAAGUUUGAUUAAAACUAUUUUUUUCUGAGUCUUCUAUGACUAAGUACCUACGAGUGUGUUCAUUGAGAGGAAUAUUGAUGUUUUUUUUUCUUUUAAAUAUUUGAGUUGUAAUUUGAAAUUUAACCUAUUCAAUGUUGAAGACAUUGAGUUACUAAUUUUCACAAGGAACUUUUAAGAUACACUUCAAUACUAUGAAUUUUUGUGCGUGUGUGUGUGUGUGUGUGUGCGCGCGCGUGCGCGCGCAUGCAUGCUCUGAGGCAAGUAAGGCAGUUGGUGCUCUAAAACUUCAUAUUUUCUCACAUAUGAUUGAUGCCAUUCCACAGGAAGCCACUAUUUUUAAAAAAUCAUAUAUAAAAACCUCUUAAUCCAAAUAGCUUUGGACAAUAAUUUCCCUUUACUUGCCCAGGUUAAAAAUAGCUUUUCCUGCUUCCUGUGCUUGAGCAUCUGAGUGGAGGAUGAGCAGCUCGCCAUGUGACUCUAACUCUGUGGUUUCAUACACAGCAUCGUCCACGAAUCCUUCCACUUGCUGACAUUUUAAAUCAGGAGUCUGAUACUACGCAGCUGGCUCUCUAAGCAGCUCCACAAACAUAGGACUUGAGAAAAGUUGGUGUCUCCCUGAAAAAGAAUCUAACAGCAUCAUUGCUCGAAUACACUUUAAUAGGAAAAUACUUCAUUAUUUGGAAUACAAAUAACUGACAAGGUACAAGUCCUUUGGGAACAACCCAGUUCAAGUGGCAAAUCUGUUUUGUCAAACAAUAGACACCCUUCAGAAAGGAGAAGCCAUCUCUAUGGUAAUAGGACUAACAGUAGCCUAUUGAUUGAGUGGAAGAAGACAUCAUACAAUGUCAGCUGGCUUGUUACAAUUUCAUUUGUUGUAUGACCUGAACUUAACCUCAGAAGCCUUUCUUCUGCGAGCAUAAACCUGGCAGCAGGAGAGGUUCUGUGCAGCCACGACAGUCCUGACACACAGUACAUAUGUCCUUUACAGGCUCCCUCCUCCCCAGAAGCUGUUAGGGGACAUUUCACUACUUUACUCAUUUACAGACAGAAUCCUCUUUCCGUUUCCUUGGUGAAUAUUGAAGGGUUUUGAUCCAGGAAGCAGUUUGCCUCUUUCUUCCCCCCAGUACUUAGGAGAGAAUUUCUCUACGUGUGAGUUUGUGCUGACUGGUGUGCAGUAAAUUAAUUCUUUUAACAGGUUUAGGUUUUUUUUUUUUUUCAGGUAAUUGUUCACGUAGCAUUCACUAUAUUUAGCUCUUGGGGUGGACAGAAAGACCUUCUGUACCUUUUAAACAAAGAGUGUGUUUCAAAAGCAAAUUUCUGUUUAAAUGUGUUGAUGUAAAAGGCUCCAUUUUUUUUUUCAGUAAACAUGGCUUAGCUUGAAAGAACAAUUUAUUCGUUGUUUCCAAUUACUAUGUAAUCUUUGCUUUUUUUGCAUCCUUCUUUUGCCUUUAAAAGCCCUAAGAUAUCAUUAACACUUCACUUUUUGUCAGUCUUGCUAACGGCUGGCAGGACCUCAUUUGUACUGAUUUGCUCUGAUGUUGAAGCACAUGAGUAAAAUAGCACACUAAAGUAGUGCAUGGGAUUAGAAAUGGUAACAGUGUGGCAACUCUGUGAGCAGCGUGCCCUUUGGGGCAUGCUAAAGUGGGCAUUUUGUUAGAGGGACUUAAUCUUUCAUUUUAAUGAACUAAUACGCAGUUCAUCCUUAUAUCUUUAUAUUAACACUAUGUAAUUAAGUUAGUGUUUUAAAAGAACAGGGAUUUUUCUUUUAAGCCCACCGAGGUAAAUCAUUUUUAAAUGUGGUGGAAUGUAAUUUAAAGUAUCCUAUUUGUAAUUCAUAGAUGCUAUAUGUGACUUUUUUAAAGUUAUAAUAAUUUAAUCACAAAUAUGAAUGCCACCUAACUUUACUUACUAUUUGAAUUUCAAAGUUAUUUGCCAGGAAACAUCAAACUAAUGCUAUGUAGUGAACCAGGAAGAGGGCUAAGGCCAUCAUCGUCCAGCGUCUAUGACAAAUACAUUUCCUAUAUGCUGCUCUCUAUCGUUUAAAGAGAAGGAAGCACACAGACAGUGGUGUGCAAACAUGCUGUACCUCCGGAAGCUUUAGCUGUUUAUAGUCUCCUGUCAGAGAACUUCUGUCAUUUGUGUGGGGAGGUAAAAGGUAAGAAACAGAUUCUCAGUAGCCUUGUAAGUCAGCCAAUGAAGAUGAUAGCGAUGGUGGUGGUGGUGAUGAUGAUGGUGGUGGUGGUUUCCAACUGUUAGUAGCCAGAUGGAACUGCAGACAAAUGCCUGCCCUGGUGGUUAUAGAGCACCCAGUGAGAAAUGAAAGUAAAAUACUUCUAGUUUUUUAUAACAACAUUCUAAGAUAAACCAUCCAUUAAAUCAGCAUACUUUCAGACAUUCUAUAAAAGUCCCUGUUCUGGAAAUUU
This 2517-nucleotide long non-coding RNA is filed under the name Mus musculus (house mouse). RNAcentral's name for it is "long non-coding RNA chr14:48453061-48455578". Lineage: Eukaryota; Metazoa; Chordata; Mammalia; Rodentia; Muridae. The record is from RNAcentral.